GGAGGAGAGUGAUAUCCCCCUUCCUGACAGAGCUCCUGAAGCAUGCAGGAUGAAAGGUACUGCAGAGUCAUUGUGGAGGUGCUUCUUAAUGGGUGUCACAGGCUGACAAACCGAAACUACACAUGGAGGUUGUGUGAACCUUUGCAAAUGGUUAGCUGAAGGAUGGCUCGGGAAACAGUCAUCUAUACUAAAGGCAUCACGUGCUGGAGGCCCAAAAGGGGGCUGACAUGAUGCACACAUGCCUGGCAAUGCCAACUGACCAAAUUAAGCUUCCUGGCUGUUUUCAGAUUUUUCUUUGCAUCUAUUAACUAGAUGUACAAUCAGGUAAGUUCUUUUUUAGACACACAAAAACAUUGUAAGUGUUUUAGGAAUGGCUAGAAUUUGAGAUGCAUUUAUGAUCAACACAUAUAGAGGAUUUUUUGUUUGCUUUCCAAUCGACUUAUAGUCACAUGAAUUUAUCAGUAAAUAUUAUAUUUCCCCCCUAGAGUUUACCCUCUGGUUAGGGUAAACUCUAAUGAGCCAUUUUGGGGAUGCCCCUUCAGCAAAGAAAGACCACCAUCCAGGAUCCUACAAUGAGCAGAAAUGCUGUUGCCAAGAAGAUACACAGAAAAAUGAUAUUGAACUAAAAAACGAUUUUUCUCCCAAUUUUCAUCUUUCUUAUUGCCAACAAUGAUUAGUAUUGGUUGAUAAUUUGUGGUUUUGUUUUAAUGUUGAAUUCCCUGCUUUCGUCUUCUAUUGUAUUAUUGGCUUAUUUCUUGCUCCUUUGUAAAAAUCUAUAAAGUUGAAUAUUACAGCCAGGUGUGGUGGUGCACACCUGUAAUCCCAGCACUCGAGGAGGCAGGGGUGGGUGGGUAUCUGUGAGUUCAAGGCCAGCCUCGUCUACAAAGCGAGUCCAGGAUAAUCAAGGCUAUACAGAGAAACCCUGCCUUGAAAAAACAAACUAAAAAAAAGGAAUAAAUAAAUAAAUAAAUAAGAAAAUAAAUAAAUAGAUUGAAUAUUGCGGUGGGCAUACCACUAAGUGGUAGAUGUACCACUUAGUCCCUCUUCCAAGAAGGAUUUAUUUUUUUCAGCCUCAGGGAAUGCCUUCAACCCUCAGUAUGUCUGGAAACACCUUCCAAAGUGUUUACAUUCUUACCUGAUGUGAAAAGCACUUAUAGAAGUCCUGCCAUCAUGGUCCAUCAGGAGAUACUUCUAACAAGCCACGUUACCACUAAUGCUCCCUGCUCAUCAAUGAAAGCACACCCCACAACCCCCACUACCAAAUGAAUGAAAGGUCUUUUUUAAUAAAGAAAACUUCUCACUUACUUGGUUUUUAAGCCUUCCCUUCACAAAACUAAGAAAACUGAAAAUUUUAACCCAUCCUGAACUAUUUCAGGGGAGGGGGCUGAGAUUCUUUUGGGGGUCAGCACUAGGUCUGAUAUAAACUAAUCCUACUCAUAUUUUCUUGUAAUGGAUUACUCAAAAUUUAUUUGAAAGAACUGCCUAUAGAACCCAGUUCUUAUGAAUCCACUUUGAAACCCAUUCUUCCAUGUAAUUAGAAUAUGCACAAGAAAGGAAAAAAAUAAGUUUUAUAGUUAAGUCAUUUAAAAACAAAAUUAAUUCCCUUUGCUCAAGGCCUAAAGGGAAAAAUCUACAAAAUGGGCAAAGAAGAUGGGUUGUCUCAUUAGAUUUUGUUCAGGGCCCAUUAUUACCAAUUUACUAGCUCAGCCCUUGAAUUGAAUUAAAGUAUCAUUAUGGUUUCUGUUAUUUAUAAUAUUAUAAAGAUUUUAUAAUGUGUCAUUGGGCCAAAAUUUUUCAUGCUCAUUUUAGCUUAAAAGCAGUCAUAAUACUUAAUCAAGCAAAACUUUGUUUUCAUCAUGCUAUUUAAUAGUAUGUAGUUAGCUCAUAUGUGACUCUUGUAUGAUGGAUAAAUGUUAUUAUGUCUGACUUAGUGAGGAGCCAGAAAGGCUGAGCGCUUAAGACCAAGUACAUUCAGCAAAUCCCUGGGACUUGUGUGAAAGUUACUUGUCUGAUCUCUUCAGUUUUUAAGAGGUGUAUGAACCUUAGGACAUACACAGGCUUGUUUUUACCCAGAUGAAAUCACUCUAGCAAGAAUUUCAACAUACUAACAAUUCCUUUUCUUUCCCCAGACAGGGAUAAUUAAACUACAUUCUCAUCUCUCGACCUGUUUCUAUGUGCUCGGUCAGCCUGCUUCUUGGACCAUUUGUUUCAUUGAGAGUUGGAUCAAAAUCUUUUUGAUCUUGAUAAAAAUCCUUUUAGCAUAAGCAAAAAUAGAGCUAUUUUUUAGUAGUAGUAAUGGCAUUUUGUUUAGCUUUAUUUUUAAGCAAAUAUUUGUUUUCAUUUCAUUGAUUUUUUUUCUCACCUCCUAAAUCAUUCAUGCUUCUCCCAACUUAAUGAACAAAGCACACACUCUCAGAACCCCCUUUCUGAACCUAUAAAGAAGCUCUGUAUGUUUUAAAAAUACAUUUGAUAUUCUUAAAGUAGGUGUUCCAAAGAGGGGAGGGCUAAAGCGUAAGCUUUGUUCAAGUUAGGAAAGGCGGGGAUAAUCAAGGAGAUGGGUAAAGGUUAAUAUAAAAUAUAAGCAAAGGAAAAAUCAUUUGCUCUUUCAUCAUGACAGUUUUUAGGGAAAAACCAAAGCAUCAGUGGGGAUGCUUUUUAUUUCUUGUUUCUUUCAUCUUUCAUUAUUCUCUAUUGAGCUCUCGACCACUCUUACCAAAAUACUUCUGGAUGUAUAAGUGAAAGAAUCUAUGUCCCUGUCCAUUUGUUGGUUUUUACAAUUCUAGAGGGCUGGACAGUGAACUUAGAUUUGAAAAGGAUUUCAUCUCUAUUUUCAUUAGCUUCCGUGAAAAUGCAGCAUUUGCAAAAGGAGGCAACAAAGUCUAUUGUAAUAUUGGUGGUUCCUAUGGAUUGUCCCUGCAUUUUAAAUGGAAUAUCAUUAUCACAUUGUUUAUUCUUUUGUCUCUUGGGUGGUUAGAAGCCACAAACCUUUGGAAUUAUCCUUUUCAUUUGGACCAAUAUUAAUAUGUAUUUUGUUCUUUCAAGGUAUUCAGAGCUGUAUCCUAAUAAUUAAGUUGAGCCAUCUUUUCAAGAAUUUUCAUGGAACUGAAAGACUUAUGAGACCGGUGGAAUACACACAAAAUGAAUACUAAUGAAUUACUGCCUCGUGCAAAAACAUCCCGUUUAUAUUUAAAUGUUGUAAAGAUGGAGCUAAAAUUAGUUGUUAUAUAGAGCUCUAUGCUUUUUAAAAAUAACUUUGAUAUUCUUAUGGCAGGUGUUCAAAAAGAGGGUUCUGAGAGCAUAAGCUUUGUUCAUUAAGUUUGCAGUGUGGAUAAUUAAGGAGAUAAGUAAAAAUCUAUGAAAUAAAAACAAAUAUUUGCUUAAAAAUAAAGCUAAACAAAAUGCUGUUACUACUAGUAAAAAUAGUAUAUUAAAAAUCUAUCAAAGAGUGGAAGCAUCAGCCAGGAGAGUGGCACAUGCCUUUAUUUGCAGCACUUAAGAUCUCUGAGUUCAAAGCCAGCCUGGUCUACAGAAUGACAACCAAGGCUCUUGUGGGAGUUUUGAUUUAUGAUGUGUAAAGAUGUUUUUGUUUUGGUUCCAUGUGUAGGAUGUGGGACUGAUUCAGAUUGUCCACAGAAGCAGAUUAUUUGCCUCAUGUGGACUCGGAGAGGGGCUCUUUGCCAGCUGUAGAUAGUUUAGAUCUGAGGACUCUAGACAGGAAAAAAAAAAUGCCAGAGCCCAGACAGAAAAAUGGACUCCAAGGAGAAGGCUGCUGAUACUUCCCCCAUUUCUCCUGGUUGCUGCUGAUGCAGUUUGAGGAGAAAAAGUCAGACAUAUCCUGAAACAAAUUUUGGACUUGCCCCAAGGAACCCAAGGACCCUAACCAGGAGGAAACUACACCCUAAUCCCCAAUAAAUCUUUUUUCUCUCCUA
Psammomys obesus (fat sand rat) is the source of this 3929-nucleotide long non-coding RNA. RefSeq lists it as uncharacterized. The record is from RefSeq and is a predicted model, not a curated record. Lineage: Eukaryota; Metazoa; Chordata; Mammalia; Rodentia; Muridae. The transcript is spliced from 2 exons.